CGCGCAGGUGGUUUCUUAAGUCUGAUGUGAAAGCCCACGGCUCAACCGUGGAGGGUCAUUGGAAACUGGGAGACUUGAGUGCAGAAGAGGAAAGUGGAAUUCCAUGUGUAGCGGUGAAAUGCGUAGAGAUAUGGAGGAACACCAGUGGCGAAGGCGACUUUCUGGUCUGUAACUGACACUGAGGCGCGAAAGCGUGGGGAGCAAACAGGAUUAGAUACCCUGGUAGUCCACGCCGUAAACGAUGAGUGCUAAGUGUUAGAGGGUUUCCGCCCUUUAGUGCUGAAGUUAACGCAUUAAGCACUCCGCCUGGGGAGUACGGUCGCAAGAUUAAAACUUAAAGGAAUUGACGG
Molecule: ribosomal RNA, 350 nt
Filed under: uncultured Bacillus sp.
Lineage: Bacteria; Bacillati; Bacillota; Bacilli; Caryophanales; Bacillaceae
Description: bacterial SSU rRNA
Rfam family: Bacterial small subunit ribosomal RNA
Source: RNAcentral